GCGGGCGUAGCUCAGUUGGUAGAGCAUCAGCUUCCCAAGCUGAGGGUCGUGGGUUCGAUCCCCAUCGCCCGCU
Molecule: transfer RNA, 73 nt
Filed under: Gaiellaceae bacterium
Lineage: Bacteria; Bacillati; Actinomycetota; Thermoleophilia; Gaiellales; Gaiellaceae
Also listed under: 1 other name
Description: tRNA-Gly
Rfam family: tRNA
About the family: Transfer RNA (tRNA) molecules are approximately 80 nucleotides in length.
Source: RNAcentral